AUUGCUCCCACGUCCAAGGACGGCAGCAGGCGCGAAAAUUGCCCACUCUUUGCAGGAGGCAGUUAUGAGACGUGAAGAUGAGUAUCUUGUAAAGAGGGAUAGGAGAAUUGGAGGGCAAGUUUGGUGCCAGCAGCCGCGGUAAUACCGACUCCAAGAGUGUGUAUGAGAGAUGCUGCAGUUAAAAAGUCCGUAGUCAUAGAAGGGCAAAGAGAGAUGCGAGGUCUCACAGUGCGAUGAUGGAGGAGCCGAUGGGGAACAUAGUAUACCAGGGCGAGAGAUGAAAUGCCAAGACCCCUGGUGGACUGAGCGAGGCGAAGGCGAUGUUCUUGUAGGCAUUCGGUGAUCAAGGACGAAGGCUGGAGUAUCGAAAGUGAUUAGAUACCGCAGUAGUUCCAGCAGUAAAAGAUGCCGACAUGCUCAUUGGACACAGUGGGCAGGGAGAAAUCUUAGAGUUCGGGCUCUGGGGAUAGUAUGCUCGCAAGGGUGAAAAUUAAAGAAA
This 499-nucleotide ribosomal RNA is filed under the name Vittaforma corneae. RNAcentral's name for it is "SSU rRNA". It matches the Rfam family "Microsporidia small subunit ribosomal RNA", at positions 262 to 786 of the family's 1311-position model. The record is from RNAcentral. Lineage: Eukaryota; Fungi; Microsporidia; Nosematidae.